UACGGGGGGGGCAAGCGUUGUUCGGAAUUACUGGGCGUAAAGGGUGCGUAGGCGGUUUGGUAAGUCUUAUGUGAAAUCUAUGGGCUCAACUCAUAGACUGCAUGAGAAACUGCCGGGCUUGAGUGUGGGAGAGGUGAGUGGAAUUCCUGGUGUAGCGGUGAAAUGCGUAGAUAUCAGGAGGAACACCUGUGGCGAAAGCGGCUCACUGGACCACAACUGACGCUGAUGCACGAAAGCUAGGGGAGCAAACAGG
This 253-nucleotide ribosomal RNA is filed under the name uncultured bacterium. RNAcentral describes it as "partial 16S ribosomal RNA". It matches the Rfam family "Bacterial small subunit ribosomal RNA", at positions 524 to 776 of the family's 1533-position model. The record is from RNAcentral.